This 315-nucleotide ribosomal RNA is filed under the name Salmonella enterica subsp. enterica serovar Kentucky. RNAcentral describes it as "partial 23S ribosomal RNA". It matches the Rfam family "Bacterial large subunit ribosomal RNA", at positions 1468 to 1772 of the family's 2925-position model. The record is from RNAcentral. Lineage: Bacteria; Pseudomonadati; Pseudomonadota; Gammaproteobacteria; Enterobacterales; Enterobacteriaceae.
GGGGACGGAGAAGGCUAUGUUGGCCGGGCGACGGUUGUCCCGGUUUAAGCGUGUAGGUGUGUGUUCCAGGUAAAUCCGGUUCACUUUAACACUGAGGCGUGAUGACGAGGCACUACGGUGCUGAAGCAACAAAUGCCCUGCUUCCAGGAAAAGCCUCUAAGCAUCAGGUAACAUCAAAUCGUACCCCAAACCGACACAGGUGGUCAGGUAGAGAAUACCAAGGCGCUUGAGAGAACUCGGGUGAAGGAACUAGGCAAAAUGGUGCCGUAACUUCGGGAGAAGGCACGCUGACACGUAGGUGAAGUGAUUUACUCA